ACUUUGCCUCUAGAGCUACAUCAGCUUGCUUUAUUCAUAUUUCCCUUUCCUUUUCGAUAAUGCGAGUUUACUUGUUUCAAGUAUCUGUCAACAUAAUAGUUUGUUAGAAUAGGAAAGGGAAUCUGGUUUGUAAGUAGUAUCCUACUUAAUAUUUUCUCCUAUAUUUCCUACAUAGUAUCAGAGUAUUUGUGGGAAAUUAAUUGUUGUGCAAAUUUCCAUGGAAGAGAAUCAGUCACUGCACAUUUUUUCAGGUGGCAAAACAGCUGUCUGCAUUAAAUUAAUAUUUGGUAGUGUUGUGUGAAUUCCAACACCACCAAUGGGUCCAGAAUACCUUUUCAGAUCUGUUGAAAAUAGGCAACACAUAGGCACUCAUGCACCGCCAAAAGUACCUUUCAUGCGAGCACGUCAGAUCCACGUGCUAGCGCGUGCUUAUUUGGUGAUCUUUUUUCCAGUGGGGUUGCUCCAUCAAUCCAAUCCUACCCAAUAUUCUGUAAUUUUGAUCACAGUCCAGCAAGAUCUAGGUUUUUGUCGACUUUAACACUGUCCCGACAAUUCCAGGCUACUUUAGGCCAUUUUUUCAAAGAAAUAUUCUACUGUCAGCAUCAUGAGGAGACUCUGAGCUGAUCCUUACCAUUCUCUUCAAGAUCCAGUCACUUCUUAUUUUUGGAGAAUUGGAAGCUUAAGUGCUAUGAUUCAUCCAAAAUCCUUAAUGAGGAAAUCAAAACGUAGAUCAUCAGAAUCCAUGAAGAAUUGAUGAAGAGGUCAUUUUGGAAGAUCUAGACCAAAGUGUAGUUAUUUUCAUAAGCUGGGACACACUCGUGAAGUAUGCUAUUCAUUGGAUCGUUGACCAUCCGAGAAUGCUCAUGUUGCUCAAGCGGACACUACAUGUCAUCAACGAGUUUAAUUAUCUGAAGAGGAAUAUAAUGAGUAUUUACACUAUUGAGAAAGUAAGCAGACAUCUCCACAAGUGGCCUCAAUCGCACUGUCUCACGGUCUUGGGACCUGAUUGUGGACUCUACUGCUUUUGAUCAUAUCUCCGAUGAUAAAUCACUUCGGUCAAAUAUUGUUUAUUCAGAGUUUAACGAAUGGGAUCCAAACCAAAGAAAAAGGAAUUGGGCUAGCUAAUCCCCUAUGCUCUGUCACUUUAAAUUCUGUUCAUUAUGUCCGUGGUUGUCCUUUUAAUCUUGUGCCAUAUUCUUUCUUUUGAGGACUCUUUUAUCAUAUAGGACUGCCGUAGGAGACAGACAAUUGGGGUAGAAUAUGAAUAACAAGGCCUCUAUAGCCUUACCUCUCCUAAUCCCACCCGAGCAUGUCCAAUUAUAGAUGCUCCACACUUAGAUCACAAAUGUUUGUGAUAUUCAAGUUUGUUGAAUGUACAAAAGAUGGUGCCUAGUUUGUCUUGCUUGUCCAUAUCAGAUUGUAAAUCGUGCAAACUUAGGAAACACACUCGCACUACCUUUCCAUGUAGUGUUGAGAGUUGUGUAGAGACUAUUUUUUCCUUAGUUCACUUUGAUCUUUGGGGUCAUAAUUCAUAGUAGAAUCAUCUCAACCUUAAGAUUUCGUUAUAUUGUAGCUUCAUUGAUGAUAAUUCAAGAGUUAUUGUGCUGAAAUACAAAUCAA
Non-coding RNA from Solanum lycopersicum (tomato), 1620 nucleotides. The record is from RefSeq and is a predicted model, not a curated record. NCBI's taxonomy places the organism in Eukaryota, Viridiplantae, Streptophyta, Magnoliopsida, Solanales, Solanaceae.